CAAUCAACGCUGGCGGCGUGCCUAACACAUGCAAGUCGAGCGAGAAAGGGUAGCAAUACCUGAGUAAAGCGGCGCACGGGUGAGUAACACGUGGGUAAUCUGCCUUGGAGUGGGGAAUAACACCGGGAAACCGGUGCUAAUACCGCAUACGAUCACUGGGUUUGCGGAUCUGGUGAUGAAAGGAGCAAUUCGCUCUAAGAGGAGCCCGCGGCUGAUUAGCUAGUUGGGAGGUAAUGGCUCACCAAGGCUACGAUCAGUAGCCGGUCUGAGAGGACGGUCGGCCACACUGGAACUGAGACACGGUCCAGACUCCGUACGGGAGGCAGCAGGUGGGGAAUCUUGCGCAAUGGGCGAAAGCCUGACGCAGCGACGCCGCGUGAGGGA
RNAcentral lists this ribosomal RNA (384 nucleotides) under uncultured bacterium. Its description in RNAcentral is "bacterial SSU rRNA". It matches the Rfam family "Bacterial small subunit ribosomal RNA", at positions 32 to 408 of the family's 1533-position model. The record is from RNAcentral.